CCUACGGGUGGCAGCAGUGAGGAAUAUUGGUCAAUGGGCGCGAGCCUGAACCAGCCAAGUCGCGUGAGGGAAGACGGUCCUAUGGAUUGUAAACCUCUUUUGUCGGGGAGCAAAAGACGCCACGCGUGGCGUUCCGAGAGUACCCGAAGAAAAAGCAUCGGCUAACUCCGUGCCAGCAGCCGCGGUAAUACGGAGGGGGCAAGCGUUGUUCGGAAUGACUGGGCGUAAAGGGUGUGUAGGCGGUGUAGCAAGUUAGAAGUGAAAUACCUAGAGCUUAACUCAGGUGCUGCUUCUAAAACUGCUAUACUUGAGUGCAGUAGAGGAAAGUGGAAUUCCUAGUGUAGCGGUGGAAUGCGUAGAUAUUAGGAGGAACAUCAGUGGCGAAGGCGACUUUCUGGACUGUAACUGACGCUGAGGCACGAAAGUGUGGGGAGCAAACAGGAUUAGAUACCCCUGUAGUC
This 461-nucleotide ribosomal RNA is filed under the name uncultured bacterium. RNAcentral's name for it is "partial 16S ribosomal RNA". It matches the Rfam family "Bacterial small subunit ribosomal RNA", at positions 338 to 795 of the family's 1533-position model. The record is from RNAcentral.